CAACUUGAGAGUUUGAUCCUGGCUCAGAGCGAACGCUGGCGGCAGGCUUAACACAUGCAAGUCGAACGGGCACCUUCGGGUGUCAGUGGCAGACGGGUGAGUAACACGUGGGAACGUGCCCUUCGGUUCGGAAUAACUCAGGGAAACUUGAGCUAAUACCGGAUACGCCCUUAUGG
This 176-nucleotide ribosomal RNA is filed under the name Methylorubrum thiocyanatum. Its description in RNAcentral is "partial 16S ribosomal RNA". It matches the Rfam family "Bacterial small subunit ribosomal RNA", at positions 1 to 186 of the family's 1533-position model. Lineage: Bacteria; Pseudomonadati; Pseudomonadota; Alphaproteobacteria; Hyphomicrobiales; Methylobacteriaceae. The record is from RNAcentral.